Molecule: ribosomal RNA, 207 nt
Filed under: uncultured bacterium
Lineage: Bacteria
Description: partial 16S ribosomal RNA
Rfam family: Bacterial small subunit ribosomal RNA
Source: RNAcentral
UCCGUAGGUGGACUAAUAAGUCAGAGGUGAAAGCCUGCAGCUCAACUGUAGAACUGCCUUUGAUACUGUUAGUCUUGAAUUAUUGUGAAGUGGUUAGAAUAUGUAGUGUAGCGGUGAAAUGCAUAGAUAUUACAUAGAAUACCGAUUGCGAAGGCAGAUCACUAACAAUAUAUUGACACUGAUGGACGAAAGCGUGGGGAGCGAACG